UAAACUCAAAUAUUUGUUGGCCUACUGAAGA
Molecule: non-coding RNA, 31 nt
Filed under: Homo sapiens (human)
Lineage: Eukaryota; Metazoa; Chordata; Mammalia; Primates; Hominidae
Source: RNAcentral